This 67-nucleotide transfer RNA is filed under the name Marmota monax (woodchuck). RNAcentral describes it as "tRNA.Val". The record is from RNAcentral. Lineage: Eukaryota; Metazoa; Chordata; Mammalia; Rodentia; Sciuridae.
GGUUAUGUCUCAGUGGUAGAGCACUCACCUAACAUGCAUGAGGAACUGGGUUCAAUCCCCAGCACCA